GACGAACGCUGGCGGCGUGCUUAACACAUGCAAGUCGAACGGAAAGGCCCUGCUUUUGUGGGGUGCUCGAGUGGCGAACGGGUGAGUAACACGUGAGUAACCUGCCCUUGACUUUGGGAUAACUUCAGGAAACUGGGGCUAAUACCGGAUAGGAGCUCCUGCUGCAUGGUGGGGGUUGGAAAGUUUCGGCGGUUGGGGAUGGACUCGCGGCUUAUCAGCUUGUUGGUGGGGUAGUGGCUUACCAAGGCUUUGACGGGUAGCCGGCCUGAGAGGGUGACCGGCCACAUUGGGACUGAGACACGGCCCAGACUCCUACGGGAGGCAGCAGUGGGGAAUAUUGCGCAAUGGGCGGAAGCCUGAUGCAGCAACGCCGCGUGCGGGAUGACGGCCUUCGGGUUGUAAACCGCUUUCGCCUGUGACGAAGCGUGAGUGACGGUAAUGGGUAAAGAAGCACCGGCUAACUACGUGCCAGCAGCCGCGGUGAUACGUAGGGUGCGAGCGUUGUCCGGAUUUAUUGGGCGUAAAGGGCUCGUAGGUGGUUGAUCGCGUCGGAAGUGUAAUCUUGGGGCUUAACCCUGAGCGUGCUUUCGAUACGGGUUGACUUGAGGAAGGUAGGGGAGAAUGGAAUUCCUGGUGGAGCGGUGGAAUGCGCAGAUAUCAGGAGGAACACCAGUGGCGAAGGCGGUUCUCUGGGCCUUUCCUGACGCUGAGGAGCGAAAGCGUGGGGAGCGAACAGGCUUAGAUACCCUGGUAGUCCACGCUGUAAACGGUGGGUACUAGGUGUGGGGUCCAUUCCACGGGUUCCGUGCCGUAGCUAACGCUUUAAGUACCCCGCCUGGGGAGUACGGCCGCAAGGCUAAAACUCAAAGGAAUUGACGGGGCCCCGCACAAGCGGCGGAGCAUGCGGAUUAAUUCGAUGCAACGCGUAGAACCUUACCUGGGUUUGACAUGGAUCGGGAGUGCUCAGAGAUGGGUGUGCCUCUUUUGGGGUCGGUUCACAGGUGGUGCAUGGCUGUCGUCAGCUCGUGUCGUGAGAUGUUGGGUUAAGUCCCGCAACGAGCGCAACCCUUGUUCACUGUUGCCAGCACGUUAUGGUGGGGACUCAGUGGAGACCGCCGGGGUCAACUCGGAGGAAGGUGGGGAUGACGUCAAGUCAUCAUGCCCCUUAUGUCCAGGGCUUCACGCAUGCUACAAUGGCUGGUACAGAGAGUGGCGAGCCUGUGAGGGUGAGCGAAUCUCGGAAAGCCGGUCUCAGUUCGGAUUGGGGUCUGCAACUCGACCUCAUGAAGUCGGAGUCGCUAGUAAUCGCAGAUCAGCAACGCUGCGGUGAAUACGUUCCCGGGGCU
Molecule: ribosomal RNA, 1346 nt
Filed under: uncultured bacterium
Lineage: Bacteria
Description: partial 16S ribosomal RNA
Rfam family: Bacterial small subunit ribosomal RNA
Source: RNAcentral